CCUACGGGUGACAGCAGUAGGGAAUAUUGCUCAAUGGGGGAAACCCUGAAGCAGCAACGCCGCGUGGGGGAUGAAGGUUUUCGGAUUGUAAACUCCUUUUGUUAGGGAAGAUAAUGACGGUAUCUAACGAAUAAGCACCGGCUAACUCCGUGCCAGCAGCCGCGGUACUACGGAGGGUGCAAGCGUUACUCGGAAUCACUGGGCGUAAAGAGCGCGUAGGCGGGAUAGCAAGUCAGAGGUGAAAGCCUAUGGCUUAACCCUAGAACUGCAUUUGAAACUGUUAUUCUAGAGUAGGGGAGAGGUAGGUGGAAUGCGUGGUGUAGGGGUAAAAUCCGUAGAGAUCAAGAGGAAUACUCAUUGCGAAGGCGACAUGCUAGAACAUAACUGACGCUGAUGCGCGAAAGCGUGGGGAGCAAACAGGAUUAGAUACCCCAGUAGUC
This 440-nucleotide ribosomal RNA is filed under the name uncultured bacterium. Its description in RNAcentral is "partial 16S ribosomal RNA". It matches the Rfam family "Bacterial small subunit ribosomal RNA", at positions 338 to 795 of the family's 1533-position model. The record is from RNAcentral.